CCCUGAGAAGACUUCUCACCCCCUUUGCUGCUGCCUGAGGGUAUCUGCCGCUAGCCUGGAGGUUCAGGCCACAACUGGUGGGGGAAACAGGUGGUGUGAGCGCCGUGAAGCCAGGCACACCUCUACCCCAGAUGCCCGGCAUGCAGAGGACACUGAAUAUGGGUUUGGGGGGGUGGUGAAUGAACACCACCUGAGUGGGAGGUGUGGUCCCCUUGCUGCCUCUGUGCGAAGUCCUCAGGCAGGUGCUCAGGGGUGGUCUCAUAGUGGCCCGUAGAGUCCCCGCUGGGGGGUUGGUCCCUGGUACACCAGAGAACAUGACUGGCAGUUCCCACUUGUAACCACCAGGUGUCGCUCACACCACACCAGGAAACCCAGCGCGGGGCUCCGGAGCUGCAGUCACAGGACGGGGGCAAUGUCCUCGGUGAGCCAGAGACGGGAUCUCCAGGCGACCAUUCGUCCUCAUUAGAGCCCGGGGUCCCUCCUCCAGGACCAGACAGCUGUGCCCAGCGUCGAGGGCUGCGCUGAGAGGCCUCCUUCUGUAGCUAGGGGCAGCUGUAGGUGAGGAAGCAGGAUGGCCUUGGGGAAUGGGUGCUGGAGCCAGACCUGGGAGGUCUGUGACCGUCACUUCAUCCAGCACCAUUCAUCCAGCAGCCCUGCCACUGCCCACUACCCCUGCCCACAGCCUUGGCCGUUCAGGGAAGGCUGCUUGUGCAAGGGCUCUCAUCAGCCGCCCAAUGCCCCCCACCCAGGCCGCCCUCCCUGGACACUCAGCUGGCCCCGAGAAGUGAUAUCAACCUUCCUACACACCUCCGAGGCAGCUGGCCCUGUUCCCUUUGUGAGGUCUUACUUAACUUGGGGUUCUAAGCCCCAGGGGUCCAGCCA
Molecule: long non-coding RNA, 882 nt
Organism: Bubalus bubalis (water buffalo)
Lineage: Eukaryota; Metazoa; Chordata; Mammalia; Artiodactyla; Bovidae
Exons: 2
Source: RefSeq, a predicted model, not a curated record